RNAcentral lists this ribosomal RNA (465 nucleotides) under uncultured bacterium. RNAcentral's name for it is "partial 16S ribosomal RNA". It matches the Rfam family "Bacterial small subunit ribosomal RNA", at positions 28 to 507 of the family's 1533-position model. The record is from RNAcentral.
GACGAACGCUGGCGGCGUGCUUAACACAUGCAAGUCGAACGGAAAGGCCCUGCUUGCUGGGUACUUGAGUGGCGAACGGGUGAGUAAUACGUGGGUGAUCUGCCCUGCACUUCGGGAUAAGCCUGGGAAACUGGGUUUAAUACCGGGAAGGCGUCAUUUUUAGUGUGGUGGUUGUGAAGUUUUUUCGGUGUAAGAUGAGGCUGGGGCCUUACAGCUUGUUAGUGGGGGAAUUGCCUACCAAGGCGGCGAGGGGUAGCCGGCCUGAGAGGGUGGACGAGCACAUUGAGUCUGAGGGACGGCCCAGGCGCCGACGGGGGGCAGCAGUGGGGAAGAUUGCACAAUGGGCGCAAGCCGGAUGCAGCGGCGCCUCGUAGGGGAUGACGGCCUUCGGGUUGUAGACUCCUUUCGCUAGGGACGAAGCUUUUUUUGACGGUACCUAGAUAAGAAGCACCGGCUAACUACGUG